Non-coding RNA from Macaca mulatta (Rhesus monkey), 385 nucleotides. The record is from RefSeq and is a predicted model, not a curated record. NCBI's taxonomy places the organism in Eukaryota, Metazoa, Chordata, Mammalia, Primates, Cercopithecidae.
UCUGCCAUGAUUGUGAGGCUUCCUCAGCCAUGUGGAACUAAGUCCAUGGAUAUGCCUACCACAUCAUGGAGUGAAUUGUGUCCUUGCCCCCCAAAUUCAUAUGUUGAAGCACUAACCCUCCAGUACGUCAGAAUGUAACUAUAUUUGGAAAAAAGUCCUUUAAGGAGGGUGUUAAUUUAAAAUCAGGCUAUUUAGGGUAUGUCCUACUCCAAUCUGACUGGUGUCCUAGAAAGAAAAGAUCAGGACAUACGAGAGAGAAAGUGAGAAGGCUACCAUCUGCAAGCCAAGGAAAAGAGGCUUCAGGAGAAACCAAAUCUGCAGGCACCUUAAUCUUGAACUUCCAGUCUCCAGAACUGUGAGAAGUAAAUUUCUGUUGUUUAAGCCA